UUGGAAGUAUAUGGCAUUCAGAUUUCUGUUAGGCCAUGGAAUCAUGGUUAAGCACAUGCGAAAAAAGGUUCAGCAGCAGGUCGGACUGGUCACUGUCUAGUAGUAACUCACAAUAAGCAUUUGCACCUAGCUUAUUUGGCUGUACUUGUUGGCCGUUGCACACGCAGUACUAGAUGUUACAAGCCAUGUUAGCGCGUGUGCCGAUCUCACCAGCCUCGUGUGCGUGUAAAUAAUCAGCUGUUCUACACAAACCGUAGGUGUUACUAGGCGAAGUCGUACUGUCACACCUUUUACAUAUGCUUUGCUUUGCAUAUGAAUUGAAGGGAGAGGAUAGGUCAGUUUAGUUGCUUGUUUAAGUUGAGAACAGCCAUGGAGAAGGCAAAAAAGUUUGUUUUCAUGUUCUUCAUAGGACUAGUGACAUCCACCAGCUUGAGAAUGGACGACAACACAUUAUGUAUAAGCACCCUUUAGGAUGAAUUCCUCUGAGACUUAAGACUACCAAGUACCAACAGCACACAGAUUUCUAGUGAAUUAGAUGGCUUUAUACUUCUGCAGUUAGUUAUAGUAAUAGCACAUUUUUAAAGUAAGAGUUUGUCCCCUUGGAUCUUUCGUGCGAGGUCCCCUAACUUCCUUCCCUCGUUUAGUUUCACAAAUGUUCAAAACUAU
Molecule: long non-coding RNA, 666 nt
Filed under: Setaria viridis
Lineage: Eukaryota; Viridiplantae; Streptophyta; Magnoliopsida; Poales; Poaceae
Description: long non-coding RNA (SVIR_LNC003877)
Source: RNAcentral